CAGCGGAAAGCCAAAACAGAGGCAUUUAACUGUUAAUUAAAAGAUUGUAAUUAUGUUACUCCACUGG
This 67-nucleotide transfer RNA is filed under the name Doryteuthis opalescens. RNAcentral describes it as "tRNA-Asn". The record is from RNAcentral. Lineage: Eukaryota; Metazoa; Mollusca; Cephalopoda; Myopsida; Loliginidae.